Molecule: ribosomal RNA, 650 nt
Filed under: uncultured bacterium
Lineage: Bacteria
Description: bacterial SSU rRNA
Rfam family: Bacterial small subunit ribosomal RNA
Source: RNAcentral
AGUGUCGCAGGGAAACCGAUAAACACACCGCCUGGGGAGUACGACCGCAAGGUUAAAACUCAAACGAAUUGACGGGGACCCGCACAAGUAGUGGAGCAUGUGGUUUAAUUCGAAGAUACGCGCAGAACCUUACCAACACUUGACAUGUUCGUCGCGACUCUAAGAGAUUAGAGUUUUCGGUUCGGCCGGACGAAACACAGGUGCUGCAUGGCUGUCGUCAGCUCGUGUCGUGAGAUGUUGGGUUAAGUCCCGCAACGAGCGCAACCCUCACUUUUAGUUGCCAUCAUUAAGUUGGGCACUCUGAAAGAACUGCCAGUGAUAAGCUGGAGGAAGGUGGGGAUGACGUCAAGUCCUCAUGGCCCUUACGUGUUGGGCUACACACGUGCUACAAUGGCAUCUACAACAGGAAGCAAAACGGCAACGUUAAGCAAAUCCCGAAAAGAUGCCUCAGUUCGGAUUGCACUCUGCAACUCGAGUGCAUGAAGCUGGAAUUACUAGUAAUCGUGGAUCAGCGUGCCACGGUGAAUGCGUUCCCGGGUCUUGUACACACCGCCCGUCACACCAUGGGAGUUGGUUCUACCUUAAGGCAAGGUUUCAAACCCUUGACCACGGUAUAGUCAGCGACUGGGGUGAAGUCGUAACAAGGUACC